Molecule: ribosomal RNA, 253 nt
Filed under: uncultured bacterium
Lineage: Bacteria
Description: partial 16S ribosomal RNA
Rfam family: Bacterial small subunit ribosomal RNA
Source: RNAcentral
GACGAACCGUGCGAACGUUAUUCGGAAUCACUGGGCUUAAAGGGCGCGUAGGCGGGCGGACAAGUCGGGGGUGAAAUCGUUCGGCCCAACCGGACAAGGGCCCCCGAUACUGGCCGUCUGGAGGGAGGUAGGGGUCGAUGGAACUUCCGGUGGAGCGGUGAAAUGCGUAGAUAUUGGGAGGAACACCAGUGGCGAAGGCGGCUCACUGGACCGGAACUGACGCUGAGGCGCGAAAGCGUGGGGAGCAAACGGG